GUUCAUUGACUAAUUAUUGUCAUAUUAGUUUGGAAUGCGUGAAACUCAGUUUCUGUAAGAAUGUCACCCAGGAUGUGGUUAAAAAACUUUGCAAAAACUGUAGAAGAUUGAAGAUUCUCCAUCUUUAUGGCUGUAGCCUCACUUCUGACCUGGUCAAAGUAAAAGAAACUUACAAAAGAGUUGA
Molecule: long non-coding RNA, 184 nt
Organism: Pipistrellus kuhlii (Kuhl's pipistrelle)
Lineage: Eukaryota; Metazoa; Chordata; Mammalia; Chiroptera; Vespertilionidae
Exons: 2
Source: RefSeq, a predicted model, not a curated record